Molecule: non-coding RNA, 24 nt
Filed under: Mus musculus (house mouse)
Lineage: Eukaryota; Metazoa; Chordata; Mammalia; Rodentia; Muridae
Source: RNAcentral
UCCAGACUUGGUAGAUGUGGCUGA